AAGCAAGUCGAACGAUGACGGAGAGCUUGCUCUUCUGAUUAGUGGCGAACGGGUGAGUAACACGUGAGCAAUCUGCCCUUGACUCUGGGAUAAGCGUUGGAAACGACGUCUAAUACCGGAUACGACCUUGGAAGGCAUCUUAUGGGGUGGAAAGAAUUUUGGUCAGGGAUGAGCUCGCGGCCUAUCAGCUAGUUGGUGAGGUAAUGGCUCACCAAGGCGACGACGGGUAGCCGGCCUGAGAGGGUGACCGGCCACACUGGGACUGAGACACGGCCCAGACUCCUACGGGAGGCAGCAGUGGGGAAUAUUGCACAAUGGGCGAAAGCCUGAUGCAGCAACGCCGCGUGAGGGACGACGGCCUUCGGGUUGUAAACCUCUUUUAGUAGGGAAGAAGGGAGCUUGCUCUUGGCGGUACCUGCAGAAAAAGCACCGGCUAACUACGUGCCAGCAGCCGCGGUAAUACGUAGGGUGCAAGCGUUGUCCGGAAUUAUUGGGCGUAAAGAGCUCGUAGGCGGUUUGUCGCGUCUGGUGUGAAAACCCGAGGCUCAACCUCGGGCCUGCAGUGGGUACGGGCAGACUAGAGUGCGGUAGGGGAGAUUGGAAUUCCUGGUGUAGCGGUGGAAUGCGCAGAUAUCAGGAGGAACACCAAUGGCGAAGGCAGAUCUCUGGGCCGUAACUGACGGUGAGGAGCGAAAGCAUGGGGAGCGAACAGGAUUAGAUACCCUGGUAGUCCAUGCCGUAAACGUUGGGAACUAGAUGUGGGGACCAUUCCACGGUCUCCGUGUCGCAGCUAACGCAUUAA
RNAcentral lists this ribosomal RNA (802 nucleotides) under Glaciibacter kafniensis. RNAcentral describes it as "bacterial SSU rRNA". It matches the Rfam family "Bacterial small subunit ribosomal RNA", at positions 55 to 863 of the family's 1533-position model. Lineage: Bacteria; Bacillati; Actinomycetota; Actinomycetes; Micrococcales; Microbacteriaceae. The record is from RNAcentral.